Molecule: ribosomal RNA, 467 nt
Filed under: uncultured bacterium
Lineage: Bacteria
Description: partial 16S ribosomal RNA
Rfam family: Bacterial small subunit ribosomal RNA
Source: RNAcentral
GAUGAACGCUGGCGGCGUGCUUAACACAUGCAAGUCGAACGGAAAGGCUCCUGCUUGCCGGGGUACUCGAUUGGCGAACGCGUGAGUAACACGUGGGUGAUCUGCCCCGCACUUCGGGAUAAGCCUUGGAAACUGGGUCUAAUAUCGGAUAGGAUAGUGGUUUCGAUGCCAUUCUGGAAAGUUUUGUCGGUGUGGGGUUAGCUCGCGGCCUAUCAGCUUUUUGUGGGGGUAAUGGUCUACCAAGGCGUCGCCGUGUAGCCGGCCUGAGAGGGUGUACGGCCACAUUGGGACUGAGAUACGGCCCAGACGCCGAAGGGAGGCAGAAGGGGGGAAGAUUGAACAAUGGGCGCAAGGCUGAUGCAGCGAGGCCGCGUGGGGGAAGACGGCCUUCGGGUUGUAAACUACUUGCGCUAGGGACGAAGCGUUAUGUGACGGUACCUAGAGAAGAAGCACCGGCUAACUACGUG